AACGAACGCUGGCGGCAUGCCUAACACAUGCAAGUCGAACGAGACCUUCGGGUUUAGUGGCGCACGGGUGCGUAACGCGUGGGAACCUGCCCUUAGGUUCGGACUAACUCCUCGAAAGGGGUGCUAAUACCGGAUAAUGUCUUCGGACCAAAGAUUUAUCGCCUUUGGAUGGGCCGGCGUUGGAUUAGCUAGUUGGUAGGGUAAAAGCCUACCAAGGCGACGAUCCAUAGCUGGUCUGAGAGGAUGAUCAGCCACACUGGGACUGAGACACGGCCCAGACUCCUACGGGAGGCAGCAGUGGGGAAUAUUGGACAAUGGGCGAAAGCCUGAUCCAGCAAUGCCGCGUGAGUGAUGAAGGCCUUAGGGUUGUAAAGCUCUUUUACCCGGGAUGAUAAUGACAGUACCGGGAGAAUAAGCUCCGGCUAACUCCGUG
Molecule: ribosomal RNA, 433 nt
Filed under: uncultured bacterium
Lineage: Bacteria
Description: partial 16S ribosomal RNA
Rfam family: Bacterial small subunit ribosomal RNA
Source: RNAcentral